This 814-nucleotide ribosomal RNA is filed under the name Clostridioides difficile. Its description in RNAcentral is "bacterial LSU rRNA". It matches the Rfam family "Bacterial large subunit ribosomal RNA", at positions 771 to 1589 of the family's 2925-position model. The record is from RNAcentral. Lineage: Bacteria; Bacillati; Bacillota; Clostridia; Peptostreptococcales; Peptostreptococcaceae.
GGUCCGAACCCACGAGCGUUGAAAAGCUCGGGGAUGACUUGUGGGUAGCGGUGAAAUUCCAAUCGAGCCCGGAGAUAGCUGGUUCUCCCCGAAAUAGCUUUAGGGCUAGCCUCAAGGUGAGAGAUACGGAGGUAGAGCACUGAAUGUCCUAGGGGGUAUUGCACCUACCGAAGACUAUCAAACUCCGAAUGCCGUCAUCUUAUACUUGGGAGUCAGACUGUGGGUGAUAAGAUUCAUAGUCGAAAGGGCAACAGCCCAGAUCGUCAGCUAAGGUCCCUAAAUGUAAGUUAAGUGGUAAAGGAUGUGGGAUUGCACAGACAACCAGGAUGUUGGCUUAGAAGCAGCCACUCAUUCAAAGAGUGCGUAAUAGCUCACUGGUCGAGUGAUCCUGCGCCGAAGAUUUCCGGGGCUAAAACUUACUACCGAAGCUACGGCAUCAGUAAUGAUGGGUAGGGGAGCUUCCCAUACGGGUUGAAGCAUGACCGUAAGGACAUGUGGACAGUAUGGGAGUGAGAAUGUUGGCAUGAGUAGCGAGAUGUGGGUGAGAAUCCCACAGGCCGUAAACCCAAGGUUUCCAGGGGAAGGUUCGGCCGCCCUGGGUUAGUCGGGACCUAAGCUGAGGCCGAAAGGCGUAGGUGAUGGACAACAGGUUGAUAUUCCUGUACUACCGAUAACCGUUUGAGAGAAGGGAUGACACAGUAGGAUAAGCUAAGCACACUGUUGGUUAUGUGUGCCCAAGCAUUGAGGCAGUCAAAGUAGGCAAAUCCGCUUUGAUAAUGCUGGGAUGUGAUGGGGAGCGAAAUUUAGUAGCGAA